AAUGAACGCUGGUGGCGUGGAUUAGGCAUGCAAGUCGAACGCGAAAGUUCCCUUCGGGGAGCGAGUAGAGUGGCGAAAGGGUGAGUAAUGCUUGGAUGACCUGCCCUCGAGACGGGGACAACAGUUCGAAAGGACUGCUAAUACCCGAUAGUCCGGUUUAGAUGCGUCUAGAUCGGUAAAUGGUGCUUCCGCUCGAGGAGGGGUUCAAGUCCUAUCAGCUUGUUGGUGAGGUAACGGCUCACCAAGGCGAUGACGGGUAGCCGGACUGAGAGGUUGGCCGGCCACAUGGGAACUGAGACACUGUCCUGACUCCUACGGGAGGCUGCAGUCGAGAAUCUUCUGCAAUGGGCGAAAGCCUGACAGAGCGACGCCGCGUGGAGGAUGAAGGCCCUCGGGUCGGUAAACUACCUCGUCACAUGUUAUUGAAACGACACAGGUCGUACCUCGUGCGCUGACAAAA
This 460-nucleotide ribosomal RNA is filed under the name uncultured bacterium. RNAcentral describes it as "bacterial SSU rRNA". It matches the Rfam family "Bacterial small subunit ribosomal RNA", at positions 29 to 477 of the family's 1533-position model. The record is from RNAcentral.